Molecule: ribosomal RNA, 1235 nt
Filed under: metagenome
Description: bacterial LSU rRNA
Rfam family: Bacterial large subunit ribosomal RNA
Source: RNAcentral
UGAAUACGAGAUGCUACGGCGUCGAAGCAGUCUAUGUCAUACUUCCAAGAAAAGCUUGCACUGUCAUAAACAAAUAAUGCCUGUACCAUAACCGACACAGGUGGGUAGGUAGAGUAUACUAAGGGGCGCGAGAUAACUCUCUCUAAGGAACUCGGCAAAAUGACUCCGUAACUUCGGGAGAAGGAGUGCCUUAUUUAUAAGGUUGCAAUAACAAGAUCCAAGCAACUGUUUACCAAAAACACAGGUCUCCGCUAAGUCGUAAGACGAUGUAUGGGGGCUGACGCCUGCCCAGUGCCAGAAGGUUAAAGAAGUUGGUUAGCAUCCGCGAAGCUGAUAACUGAAGCCCUGGUGAACGGCGGCCGUAACUAUAACGGUCCUAAGGUAGCGAAAUUCCUUGUCGGGUAAGUUCCGACCCGCACGAAAGGCGUAAUGAUUUGGAUACUGUCUCGGAGAGGGGCUCGGUGAAAUAGACUUGUCUGUGAAGAUGCGGACUACCUGCACCAGGACAGAAAGACCCUAUGAAGCUUUACUGUAACCUGAAAUUGAAAUUGGACUUUACUUGCGCAGUAUAGGUGGGAGGCGUUGAGAAUAUUCUUGCGGGAUUAUUGGAGCCAUCAGUGAGAUACCACUCUUGUAAUGUUAGAUUUCUAACUUUGUAUCAUUAUCUGGUCAAAGAACAGUUUCAGGCGGGCAGUUUGACUGGGGCGGUCGCCUCCUAAACGGUAACGGAGGCGCACAAAGGUUUCCUCUGAACGGGUAGAAAUCGUAUCUAGAGUGUAAAGGCAUAAGGAAGCUUGACUGUGAGACCUACAAGUCGAGCAGGGACGAAAGUCGGUCUUAGUGAUCUGACGGUGCUGAGUGGAAAGGCCGUCACUCAACGGAUAAAAGUUACUCUAAGGAUAACAGGCUGAUCUCCCCCAAGAGUUCACAUCGACGGGGAGGUUUGGCACCUCGAUGUCGGCUCAUCGCAUCCUGGGGCGGUAGUACGUCCCAAGGGUUGGGCUGUUCGCCCAUGAAAGCGGUACGCGAGCUGGGUUCAGAACGUCGUGAGACAGUUCGGUCCAUAUCCGGUGUAGGCGUUAGAAUAUUGAGAGGAGCCUUCUUUAGUACGAGAGGACCGAGAAGGACAUACCUCUGGUGUACCAGUUAUCGUGCCAACGGUAAACGCUGGGUAGCUAUGUGUGGAGUGGACAACCGCUGAAAGCAUCUAAGUGGGAAGCCCACCUCAAGAUAAG